ACUGUCAUCAACAUGGCACCGGAAACAAACACAAGCAGUAACAGUCAACCCACAAGCGUCCUCCGAAACACAGGAGCAUCUGCUCACCUCACAGAGGCACAGGCCACCCUGCUCAUAUUAACUUGUUCUUAAACACACACCCACGCUCUCUCCAGCUUCUGCUAUCCUUGUGCAAGCAUAUCACCCCGUUUUAGGGACAGAAUCCACAGAGACCUCCCCUGCCCUACCCCCUACCUUUCCUUUCUUUGCUUCUUCCUCCCCCCUCCCUCCCUCAUCCCUGGGUACCCGUUUGCCAGGGUUAUUUAUAGAAGCAAGCGAUAAAUUCAGUGUGUUUCUCGGCGUGCAAAGCUAUAAAUAAUGGCACAGAUCAUUAAACCCCGAGAGCAGGCCCAGCCGCCCCGCAAACAAGAUGAAGUGCAAACCACCACGUGAGAGGGAGAGAGGGAGGUGCAGGGGAGAGAAGCAGGCCCAGCCUGCACCCCUCAACCUAGGCCUAGGGAGCAUGGGCUUCCAAGGCUCCCGGAGAGACUCUGAUCCCACCAGGAGCCUUCAGAGGCAGAAAGUUCCCUGUCAGCAGAACACUGUAGGCCACGUCGCAAACCUCAAGCUGGCCUUCUGUUCGCGUCCCAGGCAUUUGCAGCAGAAUCUGGUGCGGCUGCGUAGAACCUGGAGCCCCUUCACUUGGGAAUGAGCUGGAAGGGCAACAACUCAACUGAAACCACAUCACACAGCCGCUGCGGCACAGUGGGACCGCUGUCACGUUGCACCUUCAGGACCUCAGUCUUCCCGGUUUCCACACCUAGAGGACCAGAGAUGGCCUGCCAUCUAAGACCCACCCACGAAAGAACCGGAACAGAUAAGGAAGCAGAAUGAGAAGUGUUCCUGGACAGAAAAGCCCAGAAUGUACAGCUACCGAAGAGGAACCUGAAACUUAAUCCACAGAUUCCUAACAUAAAAAUAAAGGGAAACAGAUAGCAGCUUUAAAAAUCUCACUAGCCACACCGGGUGGUGUUUGCCGGCAAUAUUAGCAUUCUGGAGAUGGAAUCUGGAUGAUCAGGAGUUAAAAGUCAUCCCCAGAUACAUAAUGAGUUCCGGGAUAGCCUAGGCUACACGAGACUGUUCCAAAUAAUAAACCAAUAUAGCCUAGGCUACAUGAGAGUCUGUUUCAAAUGAUAAACAAGUCUCCCCCCAUUCCAGAAGGCUUAUCAGUCCCGUUCCCAGCACCAAUUCCUUGCCCUCCAUCAAAGCAUGGUCAGGCAGGGCCAGCAAGAUGGCUCGAUGGGUAUAGGUACUUAGACCUAAGUUAGAUCCCCGAAUCCAGGUAAAGGUGGAAGGAGACAGUGGGUUCCAUAAAAUUGUCCUCUGACCUUCAAAUGAUCCUUCAAUGGCAUAUACACACAUGUGUAUGUCUAUAUAUAUAUACACAUAUAUAUACACACAAUGAUAAAUAAAUAAUUUUAAAGAUGUA
Rattus norvegicus (Norway rat) is the source of this 1468-nucleotide long non-coding RNA. RefSeq lists it as uncharacterized. The record is from RefSeq and is a predicted model, not a curated record. NCBI's taxonomy places the organism in Eukaryota, Metazoa, Chordata, Mammalia, Rodentia, Muridae.